Molecule: ribosomal RNA, 498 nt
Filed under: uncultured bacterium
Lineage: Bacteria
Description: partial 16S ribosomal RNA
Rfam family: Bacterial small subunit ribosomal RNA
Source: RNAcentral
AUUGAACGCUGGCGGCAUGCUUUACACAUGCAAGUCGAACGGUAACAGGCCGCAAGGUGCUGACGAGUGGCGAACGGGUGAGUAAUGCAUCGGAACGUGCCCAGUCGUGGGGGAUAACUAUCCGAAAGGAUAGCUAAUACCGCAUACGAUCUGCGGAUGAAAGCGGGGGACCUUCGGGCCUCGCGCGAUUGGAGCGGCCGAUGUCAGAUUAGGUAGUGGGUGGGGUAAAGGCUCACCAAGCCAACGAUCUGUAGCUGGUCUGAGAGGACGACCAGCCACACUGGGAGUGAGACACGGCCCAGACUCCUACGGGAGGCAGCAGGGGGGAAUUCUGGACAAUGGGCGCAAGCCUGAUCCAGCAAUGCCGCGUGCAGGAAGAAGGCCUUCGGUUUGUAAACUGCUUUUGUACGGAACGAAACGGCUCUGGUUAAUACCUGGGGCUAAUGACGGUACCGUAAGAAUAAGCACCGGCUAACUACGUGCCAGCCGCCGCGGUAA